Capsicum annuum is the source of this 802-nucleotide long non-coding RNA. RefSeq lists it as uncharacterized. The transcript has 2 exons. The record is from RefSeq and is a predicted model, not a curated record. NCBI's taxonomy places the organism in Eukaryota, Viridiplantae, Streptophyta, Magnoliopsida, Solanales, Solanaceae.
AACUGAUAGGCCCACUCCUUUUUUCCUCCUUCUUCAACACAGCCGAACAGCAACACACGAGAACAACAGCAAAAUCACGAUAACACCAUAACCAAAACUAAAAUUGUAUCAACCCAGAAACAACCACAAUAAGGCCAAACUCAACCCAAAAUCGAGAAAACCAUCUACAAUCUGACCCUACCCUUCACCACGCGCGUCUCAUGCGAUAGUAGGACAAAGAAGGUCCUAAAAUCUUCUAGAACAAGUCUAGGUGUCGUCUCCAACGGAUAAUUUUGCGAAUCUCAGGAUAAUUGGUACGAUUUCGUACGUAGUUGGAUGAUAUUCAUUGGUCCUGGAGUACAAUUCAUUUUUCCCAAAUGGUAUUGGCCCGCCCAUUUCAAUUUCUCUCAUGAAAUCCAAAAACUGGUACAAAUUAUUGAUGAAACCCAAGCUGUGGAGGGAUUUUCGAAAAUCAAAUUCAAAAUAUCCUAUUUUUAAAUCCCUAAAAUACCCCCAAUUCUGUCUUCUACAUAAGAACCCACUUGGUACUAAUUUCAGGGUUGGGAAAUUUUUUUUACAAAACAGAAAUACACACCCAAACAAAAGGGAAAAAAAUUGGUCGCAAGAAUAGGCGAGAAUUUCCAUCAGUAAAAUUUUUAGGGAAGGCAAUCGACUAGUCGAGACUUUCAUAGCGGCAUUGAAUUUUCCUGUGGUAGUGAAGUCCAAAGGAGAUCGAGGUUCCAUUUUGCUGCUCCCGAACAGGCCCAUUUUUUGAGUCAAGCCCAAAGCCGGUUAAAUCGCACAUGGAUACAACGAGUUGAAA